RNAcentral lists this ribosomal RNA (450 nucleotides) under uncultured bacterium. RNAcentral describes it as "partial 16S ribosomal RNA". It matches the Rfam family "Bacterial small subunit ribosomal RNA", at positions 354 to 796 of the family's 1533-position model. The record is from RNAcentral.
GUGGGGAAUCUUCCGCAAUGGACGAAAGUCUGACGGAGCAACGCCGCGUGAGUGAUGAAGGUCUUCGGAUUGUAAAGCUCUGUUAAUCGGAACGAAAGAGCCUAGUGUGAAUAAUGCUAGGAAGUGACGGUACCGGAAUAGAAAGCCACGGCUAACUACGUGCCAGCAGCCGCGGUAAUACGUAGGUGGCAAGCGUUGUCCGGAAUUAUUGGGCGUAAAGCGCGCGCAGGCGGAUCUGCCAGUCUGUCUUAAAAGUUCGGGGCUUAACCCCGUGAUGGGAUGGAAACUACAGAUCUAGAGUAUCGGAGAGGAAAGUGGAAUUCCUAGUGUAGCGGUGAAAUGCGUAGAUAUUAGGAAGAACACCAGUGGCGAAGGCGACUUUCUGGACGAAAACUGACGCUGAGGCGCGAAAGCCAGGGGAGCGAACGGGAUUAGAAACCCGGGUAGUCC